RNAcentral lists this non-coding RNA (69 nucleotides) under Gammaproteobacteria bacterium. The record is from RNAcentral. Lineage: Bacteria; Pseudomonadati; Pseudomonadota; Gammaproteobacteria.
AGGCGAAACGCGGCUCACAAGCCGCGUCCUGGUAGAGUGGUUUCUACCGGCUGAGGAUGCCAGCCACUA